GGGUUGUGAGGUUAAGCGACUAAGCGUACACGGUGGAUGCCCUGGCAGUCAGAGGCGAUGAAGGACGUGCUAAUCUGCGAUAAGCGCCGGUAAGGUGAUAUGAACCGUUAUAACCGGCGAUUUCCGAAUGGGGAAACCCAGUGUGACUCGUCACACUAUCAUUAACUGAAUCCAUAGGUUAAUGAGGCGAACCGGGGGAACUGAAACAUCUAAGUACCCCGAGGAAAAGAAAUCAACCGAGAUUCCCCCAGUAGCGGCGAGCGAACGGGGAGGAGCCCAGAGCCUGAAUCAGCAUGUGUGUUAGUGGAAG
RNAcentral lists this ribosomal RNA (310 nucleotides) under Salmonella enterica. Its description in RNAcentral is "partial 23S ribosomal RNA". It matches the Rfam family "Bacterial large subunit ribosomal RNA", at positions 1 to 307 of the family's 2925-position model. Lineage: Bacteria; Pseudomonadati; Pseudomonadota; Gammaproteobacteria; Enterobacterales; Enterobacteriaceae. The record is from RNAcentral.